GACGAACGCUGGCGGCGUGCUUAACACAUGCAAGUCGAACGGAAAGGCCCUGCUUUUGUGGGGUGCUCGAGUGGCGAACGGGUGAGUAACACGUGAGUAACCUGCCCUUGACUUUGGGAUAACUUCAGGAAACUGGGGCUAAUACCGGAUAGGAGCUCCUGCUGCAUGGUGGGGGUUGGAAAGUUUCGGCGGUUGGGGAUGGACUCGCGGCUUAUCAGCUUGUUGGUGGGGUAGUGGCUUACCAAGGCUUUGACGGGUAGCCGGCCUGAGAGGGUGACCGGCCACCUUGGGACUGCGAUACGGCCCAGACUCCUACGGGAGGCAGCAGUGGGGAAUAUUGCACAAUGGGCGGAAGCCUGAUGCAGCAACGCCGCGUGCGGGAUGACGGCUUUCGGGUUGUAAACCGCUUUCGCCUGUGACGAAGCGUGAGUGACGGUAAUGGGUAAAGAAGCACCGGCUAACUACGUG
RNAcentral lists this ribosomal RNA (468 nucleotides) under uncultured bacterium. RNAcentral describes it as "partial 16S ribosomal RNA". It matches the Rfam family "Bacterial small subunit ribosomal RNA", at positions 28 to 507 of the family's 1533-position model. The record is from RNAcentral.